Molecule: long non-coding RNA, 454 nt
Organism: Triticum dicoccoides
Lineage: Eukaryota; Viridiplantae; Streptophyta; Magnoliopsida; Poales; Poaceae
Exons: 2
Source: RefSeq, a predicted model, not a curated record
CCGACUCUCAGGUAGCCACUUCACCGGGCGCCCCAGCAUGAGAGGCACCGGCUUGGUUUCCUCGCUGACAGUAAUCCUGCUCCUCCUUGGAUACCUUGCAGUUAUAGCACAGUGUCGUUUGGAGGCUGGAAGAAGGAGGAGCUACCAGGAGGAUCAUACCGGAGCUACUAGGGUCAACGCGACAGCAUUAGAUGAGAGCAAGCUCAACCUACGUUUCUGCACGGGCCAUGUAUGUCGUAAACCUCCGAGACCCUGUUACUGCUGUGAGCUUCUGCCGCCGGACCAGCCGUGCUUCGCUUCCAAAGAGGAGUGCUGGCAAAAAUGUCCCGCCUGUGACCCCAAGUGUCCCGGCCCACCUGCCACGGAGUUGCAUGCAUGAGCAAAUAUAUGCUUUUCAUGUAAAUGAGUCAUAAGCAUGGUUGUUUUGUGAGAGAAAGAAUAUACUGACGCGCCA